CUACCAUGGCAGUAACGGGUAACGGAGAAUUAGGGUUCGAUUCCGGAGAGGGAGCCUGAGAAACGGCUACCACAUCUAAGGAAGGCAGCAGGCGCGUAAAUUACCCAAUCCCGAUUCGGGGAGGUAGUGACAAGAAAUAUAAACCCGGGGAAUUCUAUUCUUACGGGAUUUAAAUGAGAACAAUUUAAAUCACUUAGCGAGGAACAAUUGGAGGGCAAGUCUGGUGCCAGCAGCCGCGGUAAUUCCAGCUCCAAUAGCGUAUAUUAAAGUUGUUGCAGUUAAAAAGCUCGUAGUUGAAUUUCUGGUCAUUUUUAGUCUUGGCUUCGGUCGGGCUAAGGUUGGCCAUCCGUUUGCAAGCUAUUCUCGGCCUUCACUGGUUCGGAAUAGUGAGCUGACAUUUUACUUUGAAAAAAUUAGAGUGUUUCAGGCAGGCUUUUGCCCGAAUACAUUAGCAUGGAAUAAUGGAAUCGGACUCUUGUCCAUUUGGUUGGUUAUUGGAUUUGAGUAAUGGUUAAUAGGGACAGUUGGGGGCAUUAGUAUUUAAUUGUCAGAGGUGAAAUUCUUGGAUUUAUUAAAGACUAACUUAUGCGAAAGCAUUUGCCAAGGAUGUUUUCAUUAAUCAA
This 623-nucleotide ribosomal RNA is filed under the name Ciliophora sp. RNAcentral's name for it is "SSU rRNA". It matches the Rfam family "Eukaryotic small subunit ribosomal RNA", at positions 341 to 980 of the family's 1831-position model. The record is from RNAcentral. Lineage: Eukaryota; Ciliophora.